AACCAACAGUUCAAGAGAAUAAGGUCUGUGCUUACAAUCACUAUAUUCAACACUGGAUAUAUGAUGUAUACAACAUUUUAAUGAAUGCUCUGAUCAGGUAAUUCUCUGGACCUUAAUUUUAUAAAACCUUGCUGACCCUGGAUGAAGCACAAAAUCACACAAAAGAGUGCAUCAAAGAACCGGGCAGAAGGGAUUAAAACAUGAAAGCAGUGUUGAAAAGAACUUUCACAGACAACUGCACAAGCAUGAAUAAAGUGGAUUCCUACUCAUAUCCAAAAGAUUAUAGAGCUAGAAUAUGGAAAUAAAUACAAAGAAGACUGC
RNAcentral lists this small RNA (321 nucleotides) under Histoplasma capsulatum. RNAcentral describes it as "hypothetical RNA". The record is from RNAcentral. Lineage: Eukaryota; Fungi; Ascomycota; Eurotiomycetes; Onygenales; Ajellomycetaceae. RNAcentral also lists the same sequence under 1 other name.